RNAcentral lists this ribosomal RNA (201 nucleotides) under uncultured bacterium. Its description in RNAcentral is "partial 16S ribosomal RNA". It matches the Rfam family "Bacterial small subunit ribosomal RNA", at positions 524 to 724 of the family's 1533-position model. The record is from RNAcentral.
UACGAAGGGGCUAGCGUUGCUCGGAAUCACUGGGCGUAAAGGGUGCGUAGGCGGGUCUUUAAGUCAGGGGUGAAAUCCUGGAGCUCAACUCCAGAACUGCCUUUGAUACUGAAGAUCUUGAGUCCGGGAGAGGUGAGUGGAACUGCGAGUGUAGAGGUGAAAUUCGUAGAUAUUCGCAAGAACACCAGUCGGCGAAGGCGG